RNAcentral lists this unclassified non-coding RNA (194 nucleotides) under uncultured Phlebiopsis. Its description in RNAcentral is "sequence contains ITS2". The record is from RNAcentral. Lineage: Eukaryota; Fungi; Basidiomycota; Agaricomycetes; Polyporales; Phanerochaetaceae.
AAUUCUCAACCUCUAACACUUUUGUGAAAGGAGGCUUGGACUUGGAGGCUGUGUCGGCGCGAGUCGACUCCUCUCAAAUGUAUUAGCGUGAAUCUUACGGAUCGCCUUCAGUGUGAUAAUUAUCUGCGCUGUGGGUGUUGAAGUACCAAUAGUGUUCGUGCUUACAAACCGUCCGCAAGGACAAUCUAUUGACA